Small nuclear RNA from Crocodylus porosus (Australian saltwater crocodile), 103 nucleotides. The record is from Ensembl. Lineage: Eukaryota; Metazoa; Chordata; Crocodylia; Crocodylidae.
GUUCCAUUGUGGUGCGUGGCUGGAAAAUGAAACGGUAUAGAGAAGAGUGGCAUAUUCCCUAUGAAAGGAUCACACACAUGUUUGUGAAGCAUUCAAUAUUUUU